This is a long non-coding RNA of Diachasma alloeum, 1003 nucleotides long. RefSeq lists it as uncharacterized. The transcript is spliced from 5 exons. Lineage: Eukaryota; Metazoa; Arthropoda; Insecta; Hymenoptera; Braconidae. The record is from RefSeq and is a predicted model, not a curated record.
UGAAGGGGUUGGCCCUUGACUCCAUCGUCAUUUACUACCCUGAGGAAUUCAACUGGCCAUUAAGAUGUCCAAUCAGUCCUUUAUAGUUGAGGCACUGUUGCUGAUUCUUUGCUUCUCAAUCAAAACCCUACGUUUCUCCAUUUUUCACCAGCAAUUAUUCGAUGUCAUGUAUAUGAGAAGUGAUUGCAGGAGAAACAACUCGGAGAAAAUUUUGGUACUUCACCGAAGCAAGGAAAUGUCAAUAUUUAUCUUCGCAUGUGACAAAAGAAAGGGAGAGCUGGAGCGUAAGGCUCACCGAUGACUUAGAAAUAGAGCGACCCAGGAAUAAUACAUAAAAGUUCUAAUCAUGACUCGCAAUUCAAACCACUUACUCCGAACCAAAUUACUGGUUGUUAUAUCUGUGGAUCUCAGUACUGUGCAGUGUCCAGCCUGUAUAUGCAAGCUACAUCCAGCAUAUUCCGUCAAUAGCUACAAUAAUGACACGCCAGGUCUUCGUCUCAAGUGUCCAACUCAGGCCUGAAAUCAACAUCGCACUGGAAAUGGAGUUAGUAAGCAGAAGACUACUUUUGUUAUCUAUUGAAUAUCAUCACGAGGCAGUGAUAGAGGAGUCUACAGAGCCACUGGAGGAAGUCUACACAGCCAAACGAGGGAGUCGUAUCGUAAUGGUAAACAGAAGAACAUCUUGUAUACUUCGUUGGCAGGUGCAACAUCUUGGGGAUUAGCGCAGAUUAGACAGACUAAUAUGAUCUCUGAGCUUGCUGUUUUUUGUAACUUCGCCAAGGGAACCUUUCUCUAUCAGAACACUACACUAUAGUUAUUACAGAUAUUGGAGCCUUCUCACCGAGUGCCUGUAUCCGGCUGAGGACAUUGAAAAUCAUAAUCACAUGAAAAAUUCGUGUAAAAAUCCAACUUUAGUUCAUGAUGGAUAUAUUUUCAAAAAAACGUGUCAUUCAGGACUAAUGGAAAUUGACUCACAUUAAUAAUAAAUUGAAAUUACCAUAUA